This 429-nucleotide ribosomal RNA is filed under the name Actinomycetes bacterium. RNAcentral's name for it is "Actinobacteria bacterium partial 16S ribosomal RNA". It matches the Rfam family "Bacterial small subunit ribosomal RNA", at positions 355 to 776 of the family's 1533-position model. Lineage: Bacteria; Bacillati; Actinomycetota; Actinomycetes. The record is from RNAcentral.
UAGGGAAUCUUCCGCAAUGGGCGAAAGCCUGACGGAGCAACGCCGCGUGAGUGAUGAAGGUCUUCGGAUCGUAAAACUCUGUUAUUAGGGAAGAACAAAUGUGUAAGUAACUAUGCACGUCUUGACGGUACCUAAUCAGAAAGCCACGGCUAACUACGUGCCAGCAGCCGCGGUAAUACGUAGGUGGCAAGCGUUAUCCGGAAUUAUUGGGCGUAAAGCGCGCGUAGGCGGUUUUUUCAGUCUGAUGUGAAAGCCCACGGCUCAACCGUGGAGGGUCAUUGGAAACUGGAAAACUUGAGUGCAGAAGAGGAAAGUGGAAUUCCAUGUGUAGCGGUGAAAUGCGCAGAGAUAUGGAGGAACACCAGUGGCGAAGGCGACUUUCUGGUCUGUAACUGACGCUGAUGUGCGAAAGCGUGGGGGUCAAACAGG